Long non-coding RNA from Etheostoma cragini (Arkansas darter), 134 nucleotides. RefSeq lists it as uncharacterized. NCBI's taxonomy places the organism in Eukaryota, Metazoa, Chordata, Actinopteri, Perciformes, Percidae. The transcript is spliced from 3 exons. The record is from RefSeq and is a predicted model, not a curated record.
AAUGGUCCCUGUAAACGUGUCAGCUGCGUGGUGUGUCCAUUUUAAUUUCGGCUCCCAUGUUAACAGGUUAGGGCUCACACACCGCCUGCGUAACGGGCACGUCUCAGGCGCGGCUCGAGCCACGCCGAAAACGA